RNAcentral lists this ribosomal RNA (239 nucleotides) under uncultured bacterium. Its description in RNAcentral is "partial 16S ribosomal RNA". It matches the Rfam family "Bacterial small subunit ribosomal RNA", at positions 96 to 334 of the family's 1533-position model. The record is from RNAcentral.
CGGCGGACGGGUGAGUAACGCGUGGGUAACCUGCCUCAUACAGGGGGAUAACAGUUGGAAAACGGCUGCUAAUACCGCAUAAGCGCACAGUACCGCAUGGUACGGUGUGAAAAACUCCGGUGGUAUGAGAUGGACCCGCGUCUGAUUAGGUAGUUGGUGGGGUAACGGCCUACCAAGCCGACGAUCAGUAGCCGACCUGAGAGGGUGACCGGCCACAUUGGGACUGAGACACGGCCCAA